Molecule: ribosomal RNA, 120 nt
Organism: Panthera pardus (leopard)
Lineage: Eukaryota; Metazoa; Chordata; Mammalia; Carnivora; Felidae
Source: Ensembl
GUCUACAGCCAUACCACCCUGGACACGCCUGAUCUCAUUUGAUCUUGGAAGCUAAGCAGGGUCAGGCCUGGUUAGUACUUGGAUGGCAGAAAUGUUAAAGUAUUCCUUCAUCCUGUGACA